GUGUCCAGUAGAUGUGCUGCUCUGAAGUGUCACAUCUCACCACCACGUCCUGGUUGAGCUUCCCCACCUGGACUGGAGGUGAGAGGCAGAGCCUGUGGUCAGAAGUGGGUUGUGGUAGGGGAAGAUUGUCCCCCAAACCACCAUGGGACCGGGUGUCCCUUGGCCUCACAACCUUGUCCCACGCUCCUCACCCUGCUGCACUCCACAUCCAUCCCCCCACUCCCUCACCCCAUUCCCACCCUCUAAUCUCCCAGCAGAGCUGUGCAGCCCCUCAGAGGGAUGUGGGGUUGGGAUGCCCCCCACUCCCCUGCUCCCCCCACCACAGUCUCCCCUAUGCCCUGGGAGCAGCACUCACACUUUGGGGGGAAGGCAGUCAGGGAUUCUGCAGGCACAAGGAACAGCGCCAGUCCCACCAGCACCAGCAUCUGGGAAGGAAAAGAGCAGGGACAUCACCCAGCAGAGUGGCACAGCCAGGGCAGAGCCCCCAGCUCUGGCAGCAGCACCCCCCUGAGACCCCCCCAACCCUCCUGGUCUGUGCCUACCUCUGUUUGUGCCUCUGGUGGGCUCGGCAGAGCCGGGGGCUGUGGUCUUAUAGUGGGCUGGACUCCACGGGGCUGCCCCAAGGUGCAGUCACAGCAGCAUCACAGUUCCCAGAAGUGCAGAAUGGGACGCUCAGCCCCUCGCCUCCCACCCACACCACUGCUGGUACUUCCCGGGGCAGGGGGCAGCACACACGCCCUGCCCUGGAAUGCCAGAGGAUGGGUCCCCCUGGGAACACCCACCGGGCAGCUGGGAUGGUUUUGGGUGGUCCCAGCUCUCUUAGAGGGGUCCUGAGCCCCUGCAGCACCUGAGGGGCUGCACAUCGCUGUGUGCUGCACAGAGCCCCCACAGUGCCCCUCUAUGGGGUGGGGGCACCUCGGAGGUCUAUCAGCACCUGUGCCGGGGGUCUGCAGAGGGGCAGCUCGGGGCUGGGCACCUCUGGGUGGGUUCCCAAGGAGAGGGGAGGGU
RNAcentral lists this long non-coding RNA (1008 nucleotides) under Taeniopygia guttata (zebra finch). RNAcentral describes it as "lncRNA (ENSTGUG00000022348.1)". The record is from RNAcentral. Lineage: Eukaryota; Metazoa; Chordata; Aves; Passeriformes; Estrildidae.